RNAcentral lists this ribosomal RNA (324 nucleotides) under uncultured eukaryote. Its description in RNAcentral is "partial 18S ribosomal RNA". It matches the Rfam family "Eukaryotic small subunit ribosomal RNA", at positions 1470 to 1796 of the family's 1831-position model. The record is from RNAcentral.
CCCUUAGAUGUUCUGGGCUGCACGCGCGCUACACUGAUGCGAUCAACAAGUUUUUCCUAUGUCGAUAGACACGGGUAAUCUUUUGAACUCGCAUCGUGAUGGGGAUAGAUUAUUGUAAUUAUUAAUCUUCAACGAGGAAUUCCUAGUAGGUACAAAUCAUCAGUUUGCAUCGAUUACGUCCCUGCCCUUUGUACACACCGCCCGUCGCUGCUACCGAUUGGUUGAUCUGGUGAAUUAUUCGGACUGCCGGCUGAAGGGGUUUCCUCAUCUGCCAGCGGAAAGUCUUGUUAACCCUAUCAACUAGAGGAAGCAGAAGUCGUAACA